Molecule: small nucleolar RNA, 75 nt
Organism: Peromyscus maniculatus bairdii (prairie deer mouse)
Lineage: Eukaryota; Metazoa; Chordata; Mammalia; Rodentia; Cricetidae
Source: Ensembl
UGGAUCAGUGAUCAUAACUGCUGGUAUAUGAGGCCCAGAUGAUGAAUGACAUGUGUCUGAAACUCUGAGGUCCAA